CUGGUUUGUACUAGCACUAAUAGAAAUCUAACAUAGAAUUUUGACUAAGAGAAAGCAUUAGAAUUAUAAUAGCGUUCCCCUCUUUAAGAGAAAUGAUGGUUCUUUGGCCUGGUUUUGACAAGGGAGAGCCAGGACUGGGUGUUUGAGGAUGUAGAGCAUCUCUCUCUGCACUUAUGCAUGAGUAUUAGCAGUUAAUGAUUGUGCAUUUUGGAUGAAUCGUCUAUGUCUAUAUGAUAGAACACAAUCCUUCCAACACCAUCAGAUGUUCUAUUACUAAUUAGUUACUUCUUCUUAUUUAUUUAGUAAUCAGUGUUUGUUUCAGAACAAGGGGAAAUCUCUAGUAGUGCUGCAUUAAUCUUGUCAACCUUGUUGAGUGUUUUUGUUUUUUUGGCAACUUUUGAAGCAAACACUUGGAUAUCAUUUUUAUAUAUCUUGCCUGGCUAUUUUCACUAAAAUCUUGAGAACGCAAGUUGUUUAUGGUUUUUCUCAAUGUGAAUUAAAUUUCUUAAUCCUUUGAGAUAAUUGUGGUAUUGUUUGCAUGGUGUGUAGUGUAGGAGACCCUUUCAAAGAUACAGCUGGACCUUCACUACAUGUGCUC
Molecule: unclassified non-coding RNA, 598 nt
Filed under: Hevea brasiliensis (rubber tree)
Lineage: Eukaryota; Viridiplantae; Streptophyta; Magnoliopsida; Malpighiales; Euphorbiaceae
Source: RNAcentral